CCCCUAGACGUUCUGGGCUGCACGCGCGCUACAAUAAUACGCACAGCGAGUAUCACCGAGCUCGAAAGGGCAAGGUAAACAAUAGAAAAGGUACUGUAAUGGUUAUAGAUCCUUGUAAUUAUUGAUCUUCAAUGAGGAAUUCCUAGUAAGUAUGUGUCAUCAUCACGCACUGAUUACGUCCCUGCCCUUUGUACACACCGCCCGUCGCUCCUACCGAUUGGGUGAGCCGAUGAAACUCUCGGAUGUAGGCUAUUCAUAGCCCGCAGAAGAGAUUUGAAUCGUAGCGCUUAGAGGAAGGAGAAGUCGUAACA
This 311-nucleotide ribosomal RNA is filed under the name uncultured eukaryote. RNAcentral's name for it is "partial 18S ribosomal RNA". It matches the Rfam family "Eukaryotic small subunit ribosomal RNA", at positions 1470 to 1796 of the family's 1831-position model. The record is from RNAcentral.